CCCGGACCUCACGCGGGAGUCGGCCUCGUGCACACGGUCCGGCGCGCGCGCGGAGCCUGCGCGGCACCGCCGGCGGCGCGCUCACGUGACCCCGCCCUGCUGGAGGGGUGCGCGCGCGUUACGCGCCACGGUCCUGCGAGGCUGAUCUCGUUUGUCCUUCUAUCCGGCUGCCCGUACUUUGUACUCCACCGCUGUGGCACCUAGAAUCCUCGUCACCUUUGCCAGGUGUGUCUGUCCGUUUCUGGCUGGGUACGACAAGUGGAAGGGUGGAAGAAGAGACCCUGCAGCCCGGGCUGAACAGGUGCUGGGGUUAGGGUUAUUAGGGAGCCCUCCAGUGGUCAGGGGUCAAAGCUCAUUUUCUGUUUCUCUUUGCGACAGGGUCUCUAUGCAGUGCAGGCUGGCCUUGAGCUCCCUGGCUGGUCUGGAACUCCCAGCGAUCCUUCUGUCACAGCCUCCCAAGGGCUGGGAUUGCAAGCCUGCCCCACCACGUCCAGCUUGAAAGCUCAUUUUAUACCCGAGGGGCAGCACCUACCCUCAAGGUCUCUCAGCUCUUAAGUGACCACACCUAGCUCUGCACGAGGACUUAGAUUUGUCCCUGUCCUCCUCAUUCAUCCCCACUGCAGACAGUGCCCCAUCCAAAUGGCCUUCUCAGAACUGGGGCGGCUGAGUGGAUGCCUUGUCCCUCCAGGCAUGGACCCCAGGCUCCUGCCCCAGCGUCCUCCUAUGUGCUGUGAGGGCCAUUGGAGACGUGCCCUCUGCCUUCUGCUGGGCAAAGCUUGCUGCCCAGGCCUCCAGUACAUCAGAGUCACAACAGCUGCUCAGCAGGAGGUGCCCACAGCUCCCCCAGCUGUAAUCACAUUUAACCCUCACCAUUGGGGACAGGGAUGUGGUGUGACCCACCUGGCAUCCCAGCGCACCAGGACAGGCUCCCCAACCUGUGUUCUCCCAGCUGCCUCUCACCCAGACAUUCAGUGAACACCCACAGACUGCAUUGGGGUGCCGGGUAGCAGAAGCGCUCAGCUAGCUGUGGGCGAUCAGCGCAUUCCUGGAGCUGCCUACCUGGGGGCAGCAUGGAAAUGGCGGACAGUGAUGGCAUGGGUGAGGCGGGUUGUCCAUGGGAAGACCCAUGGGAUGGCACAGGGGCAACCACCUGGAAGGCUUCCAGGAGGUGCAGCAGGAGGGAUUCCCAGAGAACUGGUCUGGUGGUAAGACAGACAGGCAGGCCACACCAUUGUGGUGCCGGACAUAGUGGGUGAUGAGGGCGUUGGAUUGGCAGAGACAGGAAGUUCAGGCUUUGGGCGCUCCCUGGCAGGGGCACUGCAGGGAUUUGUAAUUACCCCUGUUUCUUGAAGGGCACCCCUGCAAUUUAAGAAGCUUCAGUGCCAUCAAACUUUGAUCUGCUCGGGCAAGGUUGCCUGUGUUUACACGAGGAAACUGAAUCCUGCCUUACGCAGAGGGCUCCCCACUGGGCCAUGUCCCUGGGUCAUCUUCCUCUCCUGGGCCAGGCCCAGUACUUCUUUCCCCCAAGGAGUGUCUCUGGCUCAGGCCCUCGUGUGCCUGUCAGGAGGGAGAGCAAGGCGGGUGCUGGGUGGUUUGGUUUCAGCAGCUGGCUUCCACCCAUCACUCACGUGGCUGGUGUCCAAGGACUGUGCCCUGGUAUGGGGUCUCCAAUUAGCCACUGUGUCCAGGAGCUGAGACCCACCACGCUGGGCAAAGCCCCAGAGCCAGGUAGGGAGUAGGAACCUGGCGGCCGCCCCUAUGGGCUGACACUGCCCAGGCCCCUGGGCUUUGCCUUGUCUCCACGUCUAAGAGGCUCCUUGCACCUGAGCAGGAGCUCUCUGCAGGCAGGGCUGCUCCUGCAACCCAGCCCUGGGUCCCAGACCUCCACCCCCAUUUUGAGCGGUGGCCAAGAGCCCUGGGCAGGUGCUGCCUCUGGGGGACACAGGUCAUGGGCCAUUUUUGCCUCUUUGGGACUCUGCUCCUCUCCAGCUCACGCUGUGUCCUUGCCCCAUGACUCCAAGGGGAUGUCAUUUUGGGGAUGGCUCCCUGCUUCCCUGCUAAGCCGAAAGCUGUGAGAAGAGUGGGCUCAGGCUGCUCCCAGCUAACCCUGUGUGACCAUAGAAUCUUCCCCUGCCUCCUCCUUCUGUGGGAAAGAUGCUGCUACUGGACAUGAGGCCUCCACCCGCGCCACACCCCAUCUCUCCCCGGCUCCCCAUGGCUUCUUGGGGCUGAAGUGACCCCAGAAUCAGAUGCAUUUCCUGUGCACCAGGGACUGAGCCAGGAGGUGCGCGGUGUGGCCCUGCUGCCCUGUGCCCAGGCGGGGUACAGCUCCCAUUUUAUCCAGGUCCCUGCAGAGCCAGGACUCCUUUCCAUGGCAAGGAGCUGGGCAGUUCUGGUCUGCAGCAGCAGGCAGCUUUAGCUUAGACUUUCAGGGAUGCCGUACCCCUCCCACCCCGAGGGUGAUUUUGGGGGCGAUCCAGCCUGCCUGUAUCCCCAGAAGCCAUUGCCUACACCAUCCCCGUUGCCUACACCACUUUUAUUGAAAACCACCUCAAACACUGUCAAGCAUGAAGGAGGCAUCUGGACUCCUACUCGAGGCUAGGUCCAUGCCAGAGGCUGGCCCUGGGUCCUCAUGAGGGCAGGACUGGCUGUCUGGCAGAUCUGUGGCUGAGCACCAUCACAAUAGCCAGAACCGCUGCAGCCAGAGACAAGGGGUCCUGGCCGCUGUCCGUACAGGGGUCUGAGUGCAUUUUCAAGUCAACUGUGCCACAAAGGGGGCAGCAGCAGGGCCUCAGGCACUUUGAGUAGGGCUGGGCCUCUAGCGCUACCCCUGGAGGCAGGUGUCCUGGCCGGGGAAGCAUGCCAGGCCCCGGCUUUUAUACCCUCACAUCUCCUCCUCCUGGCCAGUCAUCUUCUGCCAGAUCACCAUGUGGGUGUCGGUGUGGGUGUGCAGCCCUUUCCAGCUGACAGCCACCUCUCCGUGCCCUUUCUCCUGCUGGACUCCUGAAACAGACAGAGGUAGGCGGGAUGGGGCUGGUCCCCACCUAAAGCUUAGACCAGGCUGGGGGCUGGGUGGCCCAGGCUCUGCUGUCAGCUCCUCAGCCAGUUGGUGUCCUUGAGCAAUGUGGAAAAGCGGAUCAGCUUCAGGCUGGAUGGCACCGGCUUCCUGUCAUCCCAGAGGUACUCGGGAGACAGCACCUUGGACGGCUUGUGCGUGAUGAGACGGCGGUUCAGGUGGCUUUCCUCCUGCCAGGCCGCCAUAAUGCCGUUGGCUUUGUCCGCCAGGAUGGCCAUGUGGCAGCCCCUGGUAAACUCGUACACGUUGGCCACUCGACCCCCGAAGACUGCCCCACCAUAAUAGAAGUCCCCUUCGUUUUCAGCUACAAAGGCCGUGGAAAUCUGCCUGCGCUCAUAAGGGAACUGGCGGCGGGAGACAGUGAAAUAGCCUGGGUGAAUGGCAGCCACCAGGUCCCCCAAGGUCUCGGGGCCCCACGGGUUGUGGAACACCAUGUCCACGUCAAGGCAGAAGAGAUAGUCCACCUCCUGGUGCGCCUUCUUGGCGAUGUGCCGGCUGAUGGCCUCCAUCCGGCGCAUGCUGAUCUCCUCCCAGUGGGUAUAGCCGUGGAUGGGGAUGAUGUCCAGGAGCCGACGGGGGCCGAGCAGGACCCUGGGAAUGGCUGCGGGGUCGUGGGUGAAGACAUAGUAGUGCACCUGGAAGCCGCGCAUGAAGAACUCCUCCGCCGACUCCAGGAAGUGCUGCACGAACCGGGUGUACCUGUGGCCAUAACCUCGUCACCCAGGGCUACCCAGGAGGGGUGCUGCCUGGCAUCCACUGAGUGCUGGUCCACCCUGGGGCCCAGGGCUGGCCGGGGCAGCACUGCAAGAAGCCACUGGGGUCUCUGUUUUUCAAACUCCCAUAAUCCUAGCCCAGGCUCAAGUGGCUCAUCUGAAAAUCCAACUUCAGAUUCUAGGAUUAGGGAUGCUGAGCUGGUGAAGUCUUCGGAUUUACAUAAUUUGAAAACUUCUGAAUCUGAAAUGCUUCUGGUCCCAGGCAUUUCCGAUCAAGAUGCUAUUUAACCUGUACUGACCCCGGAGGACUGCUGGGAGGGUGACCCCAGGGCAGUUUCCUUCCUUCUCUUUCUCCUUCUCCUCUUUCUUUCUCUUUUCCCUUCCUUCCUCCCUCUCUUCCUCCCUCCCUUUCUUUUUGAGGGGUGGAACCUAGGGCCGCUCUACCACCCCCAGUCCUUGUUUUUGUUUUGAGACCCUCUCCCUAAGUUGCCCAAAUUAGCCUUGAACUUGCAAUCCUCUUGCCUUAGGAGCUGGGAUUUCGUUAUUUUUUUUAGUCUUUUUAAGACAGGGUCUCUCUUUGCAGUUCAGGCUGGCCUUGAGCUUACUUUGUAGCCCAGGCUAGUCUCAAACUUGCAAUGAUCCUCCCACUUCAGCCUCCCGAGUGCUGGGAUUGCAGUAUGAGCCACCACGCCCGGCUCAGGAGCUGGGAUUUCAGACGUGGACCAGUGGUGCCAGCCUGGUGAUUCCUGCAGUCAUAAACAGUACUGGUUCUCAUCGAGACUGGGCUGUGUUUUCAGGGAUUCUCAGGAGCUCUGGUUUCCUAAGCUACCUAGAAGCUUGCCCGUUGUGGAGGCAGGACAUUGAGAACCAAGGGGAAGAGAGGAGCUGAGAAGUAGGUGGCAGAAUCCAGGGAGGGUGGGUGCUGGAUGUCGGGGCAUGAAGCAGAGGUGCAUGACACGGCUGCACCCCCAGGCCCAGGGGUCACCUGGAUCAGGUCCCGCUGCCUCUCACCUGGGCAGCUUCGGCCUCUGCUUGUGUCCUGGGCCGGCCCCUUCUCCAGGGAGCCCAUCCUUCGCGCCUCCUGUCCCUCAGCCCCUGAUCAGAGCCCAUGUCUCCCCUGGCCUGUGAGCCCCUGCGGCUCAGGCCCACUCCCGCCCAGCCCACUCACUUGCCCACGGCAAACACCGUGACGCCGAUGCUCAGGUUCAGCGGCUGGUAGAUGUGCUGCAGCAGUUCUGGGUCAAAGGUUCCCUCGGAGACGAUGGGUGCCAACCAGGGCGUGAGUGUCAGGAGCUCCGUGGGCCUGGCGGCAGGGGAAAAGCCAGUGUGGUGAGCACACCUGGGCUGCCCUACAUGAUGCUGCUGCAGGGUCUGGGCUUCCCCAAGGGAAGAUGGGAUGGCAGCAGCCACCUGGCAGGGCUGGGUGGGCACAGGGUUGGUGUGGGGACACUGGCAGUCUCUGUGCAAGCUGGGGUUGGCGGUAAGUGUGAAACACUGCAUCAUGGGUGGUGACAGGUGUGAACUGAGGCCUGGGGCCUAUGUUACCCUAAAAUGCCACUUUGCUCUCCAAGCCUCCUGUGUGGUGCAGAAAAAGGUCAGAGCAGAUGGCUCACCUGGCCAUGCUCGUGACAGCUGGAGCCCAGCUGCCCGAGUGGGGGUCCAAAGGCCACCCUGACUCUGGCCACUGCCAUGGUUGUACCGGUCAGGCUCUAACCCCAGUCCUAACCCUUCCCCAGGCCCCACCAGGUCCUUGUGAGGCUUACCUGUGCUGUGUCAGCCUGGGCUGAGGGUAUUGGGCCCUGUAACCGAGAAGGGAAGGCAUGAGGGAUGGUGUGGGUCCCCCUCCCGCCCCCAGGCCACCAAGCGGGCAGUGACAAUGUGCUUACUGGGUCACUGGCGGCAGCGGCUUCUCCCCUUUGUACUGCAGCUUCAUGUUGCUGGUGAUGGAGGCAAGAAGGGUCAUCAGAGCCGGGCAGCAGGAACGGGGCCCAGGCAGAUCCCUGCCCUUUCCGAGAUGGGCUGGGGGUUCCUGCAGCCUGGUCUGUUCAGGGUCACACAGGAGCAAGGGCAGUGAUCAAACCCUGUGCCACCUGGCCCCAAGCUGACGCUGGGUUCAGCUUUGUAUGUGCCGGGCACUGGGCAGGACUGAGACCCUCAAAGGCCCAGGGACUGGGGCGAGUUGAUUGAUUUUGGGGCCGUGUGUCACUUAGGCUAGGGUGCAAUGCCAGGUUUCUCAAGCACAAGUCAAGCCCAGUGUAGUGGCACCCGCCUGUAAUCCUAGCACUUGGGAGGCUGAGGCAAGAGGACUGGCAUUAGUUUGAGGUCAGCCUAGGCUACAUUGUGAGUUCAAGGCCAGCCUGAACUAGAUAGCAAGACCCUGUCUCCAAACAAACAAACAGACAAGCAAGCAAACAUUCAAACACAGGUCCAGGUCUUGCAGUGAAGGCAUCUGUAGGUGAGAUUGGCUCAGGUUGAAUUUAUAUGAAGGAGACUAUCCUGGGACACAGUUGGGGCAGAUGAGUUGAAAGGACUCAAGGACAGAGCUGGGGUUUCCCUACAGAAACAGGAACUUGUCCACAGACGCAGCGUCAGCUGUGACUUCCAGCUUGCCCGAGGCACUGCAGGUCUGCUUGGCCAGUCCUUAGGAUCACUGUCAUGGUUUAUGUUUGUGUCCCCCGGGCCUCAUGAGUUUGCAUUGUUCAUUCGUGAUGGUUCAUUGUUGUAUAGUGCUUAGAUUGAUGGUGUCAGUGCUCCACCCACAUAGGGGUAGAACCAGGAUGUGAUGUAAUGGCAGGAAGAAGGUGUGUCUUGCUCUUUGCUGGUUCGAGCUCGCUGUGGGCGGCCGCCAUGAACUGCGGUCCAGCCAUGCCCGCCUGUCUUGGAGCCAACUGAGUGUGGACUGAAACCUCCAAAAACUGUAAGAAAUAAACCUUUCCUUUCCCAA
Long non-coding RNA from Cavia porcellus (domestic guinea pig), 6733 nucleotides. RefSeq lists it as uncharacterized. The record is from RefSeq and is a predicted model, not a curated record. The transcript is spliced from 2 exons. NCBI's taxonomy places the organism in Eukaryota, Metazoa, Chordata, Mammalia, Rodentia, Caviidae.